This 319-nucleotide ribosomal RNA is filed under the name Endoconidiophora pinicola. RNAcentral's name for it is "SSU rRNA". It matches the Rfam family "Eukaryotic small subunit ribosomal RNA", at positions 1515 to 1831 of the family's 1831-position model. The record is from RNAcentral. Lineage: Eukaryota; Fungi; Ascomycota; Sordariomycetes; Microascales; Ceratocystidaceae.
GCGAGUCUUUCCUUGACAGAGAUGUCCGGGUAAUCUUGUUUAAACUGUGUCGUGCUGGGGGAUAGAGCAUUGCAAUUAUUGCUCUUCAACGAGGAAUCCCUAGUAAGCGCAAGUCAUCAGCUUGCGUUGAUUACGUCCCUGCCCUUUGUACACACCGCCCGUCGCUACUACCGAUUGGAUGGCUCAGUGAGACCUCCGGACUGGCCGAGAGAGGUGGGAAACUACCACUCAUGGCCGGAAAGUUGUUCAAACUCGGUCAUCUAGAGGAAGUAAAAGUCGUAACAAGGUCUCCGUUGGUGAACCAGCGGAGGGAUCAUUA